UGGGGAAUAUUGCACAAUGGGCGAAAGCCUGAUGCAGCGACGCCGCGUGAGGGAUAACGGCCUUCGGGUUGUAAACCUCUUUCAGCAGGGAAGAAGCGAAAGUGACGGUACCUGCAGAAGAAGCACCGGCUAACUACGUGCCAGCAGCCGCGGUAAUACGUAGGGUGCGAGCGUUGUCCGGAAUUAUUGGGCGUAAAGAGCUUGUAGGCGGUUUGUCGCGUCUGCUGUGAAAAUCCGGGGCUCAACCCCGGACCUGCAGUGGGUACGGGCAGACUAGAGUAUGGUAGGGGAGACUGGAAUUCCUGGUGUAGCGGUGAAAUGCGCAGAUAUCAGGAGGAACACCGAUGGCGAAGGCAGGUCUCUGGGCCAUUACUGACGCUGAGAAGCGAAAGCGUGGGGAGCAAACA
This 407-nucleotide ribosomal RNA is filed under the name uncultured prokaryote. Its description in RNAcentral is "bacterial SSU rRNA". It matches the Rfam family "Bacterial small subunit ribosomal RNA", at positions 355 to 774 of the family's 1533-position model. The record is from RNAcentral.